CAUUCAUACCUACCCGCCACUAGGGGUCACUCGUGUUUACGUGAUGCAUAGUAGAGUGCACACAGAGGAAGAGUGUACUACAUGUGUAGGUUGUGCUUGUUCGUAGCUGUCUGCAGCUGAGCACAUGAGCAGUUGUGCAUAAGAUUAAAAGCAAACAUCAGCUUUUCUUAAGGAAGGGGGGAAAGUCCUGCUUGUGUUUUGCUUACCACCUUGUGCAUCAUGUAUUUGGUGUCUGUCUGCAAGAUAUUUCCGGGUGGAUAUAUACAUAUCUAAUGUGGCGGAGAUUGAGCAGGGGAGAACAGAUACACGUGUGUCAGCGCCUCGUUUCAUGUUACAGCGUGUCACAGAAAUAGCAUCCAAAAGCCACUACCGUUGUUUUAUAGGGGUAUAUUUCAUACAGGGCUAUUUUUGUGUGUUUUCAUUUAUUUUCUCUGUUGAUUUGGGAUCUUUAUAAUCUUGAGAAGGAAUGUGAUUUAAGGAGAAACGUGUAUUAACCCUUUCUAAUCAGCCGAAUUUCACCCAAAGGGAGUGUUCAAUAGUUGGGCUACUGUUUUAUUUGUUUUAUUUAUUUUUCUUUAAACUGAAUAGGCCAUUGUAACAAAAUAUUCACAGUGUAUUUGGAGCUUGUGUUAAUUUGAUCUCUUUUUAUAUUUCUUGUAAACUUGGUUUAUUAUAAUAUACUACGCAGGGGGAAAUUUCACAGUCAUUUAAUGCUGUGUUUUCUCUUAACUCAGUCGGAAAUAAAGAACCCCUGUUAGAUGUAUGGCUGUGCUGGAGUCUUUGUCAUAGUGUGAAGGUUUACACGGCCACAUCUUUUGGUGUCAGAAGUGGGAUUAUUAGUUACUUACUGUGGGUUUCCUUUUGUGCAGAGGAUUUGUUUAUUAUUUUUUUUUAAUUCUUAUUACUACAAGUGGGUUAAACAACAGUAAACAACGGUAGUGGUCGAGGCUGGAUGUUUGUCACCGAGAGUCAACAGCGAGCUAUGUGCUGAGCCAG
Long non-coding RNA from Cyprinus carpio carpio, 996 nucleotides. The record is from Ensembl. Lineage: Eukaryota; Metazoa; Chordata; Actinopteri; Cypriniformes; Cyprinidae.